RNAcentral lists this ribosomal RNA (248 nucleotides) under uncultured Eubacterium sp. RNAcentral describes it as "partial 16S ribosomal RNA". It matches the Rfam family "Bacterial small subunit ribosomal RNA", at positions 524 to 771 of the family's 1533-position model. The record is from RNAcentral. Lineage: Bacteria; Bacillati; Bacillota; Clostridia; Eubacteriales; Eubacteriaceae.
UACGUAGGUGGCAAGCGUUAUCCGGAUUUACUGGGUGUAAAGGGCGUGUAGGCGGGAUGGUAAGUCAGAUGUGAAAACUAUGGGCUCAACCCAUAGCCUGCAUUUGAAACUGUCAGGCUGGAGUGCAGGAGAGGAAAGCGGAAUUCCUAGUGUAGCGGUGAAAUGCGUAGAUAUUAGGAGGAACACCAGUGGCGAAGGCGACUUUCUGGACUGUACCUGACGCUGAAGCACGAAAGCGUGGGGAUCGA